This 200-nucleotide small nuclear RNA is filed under the name Pan troglodytes (chimpanzee). Its description in RNAcentral is "7SK RNA". It matches the Rfam family "7SK RNA", at positions 1 to 200 of the family's 331-position model. Rfam says of the family: 7SK was discovered as an abundant small nuclear RNA in the mid-70s but a possible function has only recently been suggested. Lineage: Eukaryota; Metazoa; Chordata; Mammalia; Primates; Hominidae. The record is from Rfam by way of RNAcentral.
GGAUGUGAGGGCGAUCUGGCUGCGACAUCUGUCACCCCAUUGAUCGCCAGGGUUGAUUCGGCUGAUCUGGCUGGCUAGGCGGGUGUCCCCUUCCUCCCUCACCGCUCCAUGUGCGUCCCUCCCGAAGCUGCGCGCUCGGUCGAAGAGGACGACCAUCCCCGAUAGAGGAGGACCGGUCUUCGGUCAAGGGUAUACGAGUC